GGGAUCGGCGCCGCCAGCUGCUCCGGAGUCAGGUUCCCAAACUCCUCCGCUAGCACGUCCAUGCUGCUCACGAAGGAGGAAGAAACAGAUAGAACCUCCGCGCCCGCCUUCCCUGCACCAAGCAAACUGCAAGACUCCCGGCGAACGGUGCGCGGAGGCCUAAACUGUCCCCGCCGUGCGUGUUAGCUAGAGACGCGGUAGAAAGGUUCCGCCCGCUCCCUGCCCGAAUCUGCGGUGGAACCCGGAUGUGGCCGAGGCCGAGUAAGGAAAGUACGCCCUCUGGUGUAGCUCGGAGGUCUGGCGCAGGGAAUCCUAAGCCCCAGCUGUCAGGUUUCUUGCCAAUUCUCUGGUAAUUGAGACCAGCAAAACAUAGUGGUUGUCAUUUUAAAAGUAAUCCGAAGAAAAGUGUAAACGCAUAAUUUACGCAACUUGAACCACUGAGGCAGAGAAUUAUUUAAUGUAGUCCAAAAUUCUAUGCAUUGUUUAGUAUGGAAGAGCAGGAAACGUCCCAAAUGCCUACCAAUAGAAGAUUGAUUAAAUAAAUGAUGGUACAUGCGUGUAAUGGAAGAGUGUUGAAAAUUCUCAAAAGCACUAGAUGGAAGAUGUAGGAGUAAAUACCCAGCGCAUGGAGAAAUUUAAUAUGAAAAGAUGACAUUUACGUUAGUAGGGGAAGGAUGGCCUGUCCAGUAAAUAAUGUUUGAAGAGCUGAUUACCCAUUUGGGGAAAAAAUACAUGUAAGUGAAUCUUUUGUGGAUUAAAUAUUGAAAUGUUAACAAAAACUUAGAAGAAAAUGUAAGUGCAGAUAUUCAUAACAUUGAGAUGUUGAAGACUUUCAAGACGGCAACAGUCAAAUCAUAAAGGAUUUUAUAAUCUAAACACGAUUUUAUGAUUCCACGGAAAAUUUUUAAUUUUCUGAACAGAUUUUAAAAAAUCACCAACAAAUAGAAUUAAUAAAAAAUAAAUUGGCA
RNAcentral lists this long non-coding RNA (968 nucleotides) under Homo sapiens (human). RNAcentral's name for it is "non-protein coding lnc-CKAP4-1:1". The record is from RNAcentral. Lineage: Eukaryota; Metazoa; Chordata; Mammalia; Primates; Hominidae.